This 371-nucleotide ribosomal RNA is filed under the name uncultured organism. RNAcentral's name for it is "partial 16S ribosomal RNA". It matches the Rfam family "Bacterial small subunit ribosomal RNA", at positions 527 to 896 of the family's 1533-position model. The record is from RNAcentral.
GUAGGUGGCAAGCGUUGUCCGGAAUUAUUGGGCGUAAGGCGCGCGCAGGCGGUUCUUUAAGUCUGAUGUCGAAAGCCCACGGCUCAACCGUGGAGGGUCAUUGGAAACUGGAGAACUUGAGUACAGAAGAGGAAAGCGGAAUUCCACGUGUAGCGGUGAAAUGCGUAGAGAUGUGGAGGAACACCAGUGGCGAAGGCGGCUUUCUGGUCUGUAACUGACGCUGAGGCGCGAAAGCGUGGGGAGCAAACAGGAUUAGAUACCCUGGUAGUCCACGCGUAAACGAUGAGUGCUAAGUGUUAGGGGGUUUCCGCCCCCUUAGUGCUGCAGCUAACGCAUUAAGCACUCCGCCUGGGAGUACGGCCGCAAGGCUG